This 3009-nucleotide ribosomal RNA is filed under the name Salmonella enterica subsp. enterica serovar Typhimurium. RNAcentral describes it as "23S ribosomal RNA". It matches the Rfam family "Bacterial large subunit ribosomal RNA". The record is from RNAcentral. Lineage: Bacteria; Pseudomonadati; Pseudomonadota; Gammaproteobacteria; Enterobacterales; Enterobacteriaceae.
GGGUUGUGAGGUUAAGCGACUAAGCGUACACGGUGGAUGCCCUGGCAGUCAGAGGCGAUGAAGGACGUGCUAAUCUGCGAUAAGCGCCGGUAAGGUGAUAUGAACCGUUAUAACCGGCGAUUUCCGAAUGGGGAAACCCAGUGUGAUUCGUCACACUAUCAUUAACUGAAUCCAUAGGUUAAUGAGGCGAACCGGGGGAACUGAAACAUCUAAGUACCCCGAGGAAAAGAAAUCAACCGAGAUUCCCCCAGUAGCGGCGAGCGAACGGGGAGGAGCCCAGAGCCUGAAUCAGCAUGUGUGUUAGUGGAAGCGUCUGGAAAGGCGCGCGAUACAGGGUGACAGCCCCGUACACAAAAGCGCAUGUGCUGUGAGCUCGAUGAGUAGGGCGGGACACGUGGUAUCCUGUCUGAAUAUGGGGGACCAUCCUCCAAGGCUAAAUACUCCUGACUGACCGAUAGUGAACCAGUACCGUGAGGGAAAGGCGAAAAGAACCCCGGCGAGGGGAGUGAAAAAGAACCUGAAACCGUGUACGUACAAGCAGUGGGAGCACCCUUCGGGGUGUGACUGCGUACCUUUUGUAUAAUGGGUCAGCGACUUAUAUUCUGUAGCAAGGUUAACCGUAUAGGGGAGCCGGAGGGAAACCGAGUCUUAACCGGGCGUUAAGUUGCAGGGUAUAGACCCGAAACCCGGUGAUCUAGCCAUGGGCAGGUUGAAGGUUGGGUAACACUAACUGGAGGACCGAACCGACUAAUGUUGAAAAAUUAGCGGAUGACCUGUGGCUGGGGGUGAAAGGCCAAUCAAACCGGGAGAUAGCUGGUUCUCCCCGAAAGCUAUUUAGGUAGCGCCUCGUGAAUUCAUCUCCGGGGGUAGAGCACUGUUUCGGCUAGGGGGCCAUCCCGGCUUACCAACCCGAUGCAAACUGCGAAUACCGGAGAAUGUUAUCACGGGAGACACACGGCGGGUGCUAACGUCCGUCGUGAAGAGGGAAACAACCCAGACCGCCAGCUAAGGUCCCAAAGUCAUGGUUAAGUGGGAAACGAUGUGGGAAGGCCCAGACAGCCAGGAUGUUGGCUUAGAAGCAGCCAUCAUUUAAAGAAAGCGUAAUAGCUCACUGGUCGAGUCGGCCUGCGCGGAAGAUGUAACGGGGCUAAACCAUGCACCGAAGCUGCGGCAGCGAACGUAUCACCCAAGACAACUUUACGGAGUUGACGAUUGACGGAGCGAAGCGACGUCAAAGCGUUCAUUAAAGUCGAGUUGGCUUAGGGAUACGUUCGUUGGGUAGGGGAGCGUUCUGUAAGCCUGUGAAGGUGUGUCGUGAGGCAUGCUGGAGGUAUCAGAAGUGCGAAUGCUGACAUAAGUAACGAUAAAGCGGGUGAAAAGCCCGCUCGCCGGAAGACCAAGGGUUCCUGUCCAACGUUAAUCGGGGCAGGGUGAGUCGACCCCUAAGGCGAGGCCGAAAGGCGUAGUCGAUGGGAAACGGGUUAAUAUUCCCGUACUUGGUGUUACUGCGAAGGGGGACGGAGAAGGCUAUGUUGGCCGGGCGACGGUUGUCCCGGUUUAAGCGUGUAGGUGUGUGUUCCAGGUAAAUCCGGUUCACUUUAACACUGAGGCGUGACGACGAGGCACUACGGUGCUGAAGCAACAAAUGCCCUGCUUCCAGGAAAAGCCUCUAAGCAUCAGGUAACACGAAAUCGUACCCCAAACCGACACAGGUGGUCAGGUAGAGAAUACCAAGGCGCUUGAGAGAACUCGGGUGAAGGAACUAGGCAAAAUGGUGCCGUAACUUCGGGAGAAGGCACGCUGACACGUAGGUGAAGUGAUUUACUCAUGGAGCUGAAGUCAGUCGAAGAUACCAGCUGGCUGCAACUGUUUAUUAAAAACACAGCACUGUGCAAACACGAAAGUGGACGUAUACGGUGUGACGCCUGCCCGGUGCCGGAAGGUUAAUUGAUGGGGUCAGCGUAAGCGAAGCUCCUGAUCGAAGCCCCGGUAAACGGCGGCCGUAACUAUAACGGUCCUAAGGUAGCGAAAUUCCUUGUCGGGUAAGUUCCGACCUGCACGAAUGGCGUAAUGAUGGCCAGGCUGUCUCCACCCGAGACUCAGUGAAAUUGAACUCGCUGUGAAGAUGCAGUGUACCCGCGGCAAGACGGAAAGACCCCGUGAACCUUUACUAUAGCUUGACACUGAACAUUGAGCCUUGAUGUGUAGGAUAGGUGGGAGGCUUUGAAGUGUGGACGCCAGUCUGCAUGGAGCCGACCUUGAAAUACCACCCUUUAAUGUUUGAUGUUCUAACGUGGACCCGUAAUCCGGGUUGCGGACAGUGUCUGGUGGGUAGUUUGACUGGGGCGGUCUCCUCCUAAAGAGUAACGGAGGAGCACGAAGGUUGGCUAAUCCUGGUCGGACAUCAGGAGGUUAGUGCAAUGGCAUAAGCCAGCUUGACUGCGAGCGUGACGGCGCGAGCAGGUGCGAAAGCAGGUCAUAGUGAUCCGGUGGUUCUGAAUGGAAGGGCCAUCGCUCAACGGAUAAAAGGUACUCCGGGGAUAACAGGCUGAUACCGCCCAAGAGUUCAUAUCGACGGCGGUGUUUGGCACCUCGAUGUCGGCUCAUCACAUCCUGGGGCUGAAGUAGGUCCCAAGGGUAUGGCUGUUCGCCAUUUAAAGUGGUACGCGAGCUGGGUUUAGAACGUCGUGAGACAGUUCGGUCCCUAUCUGCCGUGGGCGCUGGAGAACUGAGGGGGGCUGCUCCUAGUACGAGAGGACCGGAGUGGACGCAUCACUGGUGUUCGGGUUGUCAUGCCAAUGGCACUGCCCGGUAGCUAAAUGCGGAAGAGAUAAGUGCUGAAAGCAUCUAAGCACGAAACUUGCCCCGAGAUGAGUUCUCCCUGAGACUUAGAGUCUCCUGAAGGAACGUUGAAAACGACGACGUUGAUAGGCCGGGUGUGUAAGCGCAGCGAUGCGUUGAGCUAACCGGUACUAAUGAACCGUGAGGCUUAACCUUACAACGCCGAAG